UCUCCGUUGGUGAACCAGCGGAGGGAUCAUUACAGGACUCGCAAGACUCCUUCACCCUGUGAACUUCACUACAAGCACGUUGCUUCGGCGGGUGUCCCGGCGGGGGUUUUCCCUCGCCGGGGCGCACAGCCCGCCGGCAGCCUACUAUACUCUGUCUCUUUGCGUUGGCAUCUCGAGAAAAAACAAACAAGUUAAAACUUUCAACAACGGAUCUCUUGGUUCUG
This 224-nucleotide unclassified non-coding RNA is filed under the name plant metagenome. RNAcentral's name for it is "partial contains small subunit ribosomal RNA, internal transcribed spacer 1, and 5.8S ribosomal RNA". The record is from RNAcentral.